CCUACGGGGGGCAGCAGUAGGGAAUCUUCCACAAUGGGCGAAAGCCUGAUGGAGCAACGCCGCGUGGGUGAAGAAGGUCUUCGGAUCGUAAAACCCUGUUGUUAGAGAAGAAAGUGCGUGAGAGUAACUGUUCACGUUUCGACGGUAUCUAACCAGAAAGCCACGGCUAACUACGUGCCAGCAGCCGCGGUAAUACGUAGGUGGCAAGCGUUAUCCGGAUUUAUUGGGCGUAAAGGGAACGCAGGCGGUCUUUUAAGUCUGAUGUGAAAGCCUUCGGCUUAACCGGAGUAGGGCAUUGGAAACUGGGAGACUGGAGUGCAGAAGAGGAGAGUGGAACUCCAUGUGUAGCGGUGAAAUGCGUAGAUAUAUGGAAGAACACCAGUGGCGAAAGCGGCUCUCUGGUCUGUAACGGACGCUGAGGUUCGAAAGCGUGGGUAGCAAACAGGAUUAGAUACCCUAGUAGUC
This 465-nucleotide ribosomal RNA is filed under the name uncultured bacterium. RNAcentral describes it as "partial 16S ribosomal RNA". It matches the Rfam family "Bacterial small subunit ribosomal RNA", at positions 338 to 795 of the family's 1533-position model. The record is from RNAcentral.